Carassius auratus (goldfish) is the source of this 694-nucleotide long non-coding RNA. RefSeq lists it as uncharacterized. The record is from RefSeq and is a predicted model, not a curated record. NCBI's taxonomy places the organism in Eukaryota, Metazoa, Chordata, Actinopteri, Cypriniformes, Cyprinidae. The transcript is spliced from 4 exons.
UUAAAAAAAAAAUGGAACUUUACCACGACGUCCUCACAACGUUGCCAUAAAGUAAUGUCGCGCUGACCAAACGACGACUAACUGGCAACGUCCUCACAACGUUCUGUGUUUGCUGGGGUGUACCAGAUAGCACAGGUACGUCGCGGGGACGUCUGUGCGAUGUAUGCUUUUGCAUCUGGGAGACGUCAUUUUUAGGGCGUUUUGCGACGUCGUUCUUAAUUGUACGAUUUUAUACGUUCCUUCAUAUUUCCUUUUAUUGAUCACAGCUUUAGUUACACUGAUUAUGCAUGCGUCUUCACAUAUGAGAAAAGUAUAAUAACUAACCCCAAGUAUUUUCCACUCAGAAUGAAAGAACACAACAUGCUGUUGAAUGAUUUCCUCUGCUUCAGUUGGCGACGGAAGCACGGGAUUCUUCAUAGCUGCUCCUGCAUGUUAAAAGUUUGUCUAGUUCCUCCAUGGUUGUGAGAGGGAAGACAUCAUCCUCGCUGUUCACCACUGGAGCACUGGAACGGUUGUUUGCUGCAAGGGACUGGACCACUGAAGUCAGAUGAUUGAUCUUCAUGUCCAGUUCAUUAAGUGCCUCCAGAAUUGUCCUCUCAACAGCUGCAACACAUUAGAUGGGUGUUCACCCCAAGCAUCUUCUUGCUCAUUUUCAUUGGACAAGCUCACUGGAACAGCUGGAGUUAAAAAAAGG